This is a non-coding RNA of Schistosoma margrebowiei, 45 nucleotides long. The record is from Rfam. NCBI's taxonomy places the organism in Eukaryota, Metazoa, Platyhelminthes, Trematoda, Strigeidida, Schistosomatidae.
AUCCAGCUGACGAGUCCUGAAUGGGACAAAACGCCCGUCCUAGAU